GAUGAACGCUGGCGGCGUGCUUAACACAUGCAAGUCGAACGGAAAGGCCCAAGCUUGCUUGGGUCCUCGAGUGGCGAACGGGUGAGUAACACGUGGGUGAUCUGCCCUUCACUUCGGGAUAAGCCUGGGAAACUGGGUCUAAUACCGGAUAGGACCACUUCUUGGAUGUUGUGGUGGGAAGUUUUCUCGGUGUUGGGUGAGCUCUCGCCCCAUCUGCUUGUUGGGGGGGGGAUGUGCCUCCAAAGCGCUGUCGGGUGUCCCGGCUGAGAGGGUGUGCGGCGACAUUUUGACACAGAUACGGCGCAGACGCCCACGGGGGGCAGAAGAGGGGAAUAUUGCACAAUGGGGGCAAGCCUGAUGCGGAGACGCGGCGUGGGGGAUGACGGCCUUCGGGUGGUAUACUCCGUUCGCGAGGGACGAAGCGUGUGUGUGACGGUACCGGGAGAAGAAGCACCGGCUAACUACGUG
Molecule: ribosomal RNA, 468 nt
Filed under: uncultured bacterium
Lineage: Bacteria
Description: partial 16S ribosomal RNA
Rfam family: Bacterial small subunit ribosomal RNA
Source: RNAcentral